Molecule: non-coding RNA, 758 nt
Organism: Oncorhynchus mykiss (rainbow trout)
Lineage: Eukaryota; Metazoa; Chordata; Actinopteri; Salmoniformes; Salmonidae
Source: RefSeq, a predicted model, not a curated record
GUUAGGGGGCGCUUGGUCGGUAGGGGUGUCCUUGUCUCAUCGCGCACCAGCGACUCCUGUGGCGGGCUGGGCGCAGUGUGCGCUAACCAAGGUGGCCAGGUGCACGGUGUUUCCUCAGGCGCAUUGGUUCGGCUGGCUUCCGCGUGCUGUGUUAAGAAGCAGUGCGGCUUGGUUGGGUUGUGUAUCGGAGGACGCAUGACUUUCAAACUUUGUAGCGAUGAGACAAGAUAGUAGCCACUACAACAACACCACGAAACUGGGGAGAAAAAGGGGUAAAAAAAAAACAAGACAUUGCAUUUCUCCACGACAGACCGGGCGAGAGAAAACAAGAGAUCCCCUUUCGUUAAAGGAUAUAGGGCCUGGUUAGCCCUGACCUGCAUCCGUUUCCAAUUCCCCUACGCCAUGACAUUCUUGCACGCUCCAUCAAAGCUCCGUAAAUUUUCCCUCCAUGGGUAGAUAAUCUGUCCGGCAUGUAGGUCCUAAUUAAUAAGAUGGGUAGAAAAUUAAUCUGUUUAAGUCAUAAGUAAAGUCCUUUCAUAAAGAGGCUGUCAUGAUUGACUGUGACACAUAUUUAACACGUAUUGCUUGUUAACAAAGACUACUGUUGUACAUUGAAUAUCCACUAGCAGAUUGUUGUUGGAUCUCCACUAUAUCUGUCAUGUUACUGUGGUCUUUUUAAAAGUCAAUAAACAUGUGUGUAGAUUAUACACUUUUGACCCCCCCCCCCCCCGGAGUACAUGCAACGAACAUCCAUAGGC